AAAAAAAAAAAAAAAAGAGAAAUCACAGUUGACCUACAAUAGCUAAUCAUGCAAGAAUUUCGUUGUCUCUGGCUUUAGUUCUGUCAGCUGCAAUCUUGGAAUCUUGUUCUUUGUAUUGGGUGUAGAAAUUUACUUGAAAGGCCAAGUUUCUGGCAAAAGAGUCUCUGCUUUUUCAGAAGCAAAUUAGUUCCAGUUGGUGAGGUCUUUGUGUUUGAGCAAUUUGGAAAAAUAGCUUUCAAUUGGAUAAAAUGGCUGGAGGUAGAAGAAAGCAGCGUUUUAGCAGGAUCCAUGCCUUUUCAUGUGGAAAGGCAUCUUUCAAAGGAGACCAUUCACUUAUUGGAGGGCCGGGCUUCUCAAGGGUAAUCUAUUGCAAUGAACCUGAAUCUUUUGAAGCUGGUGUGCACAAUUAUGACAGCAAUUAUGUUAGAACUACCAAGUAUACGCUUGCAACAUUUUUCCCCAAGUCAUUAUUUGAGCAAUUCAGGCGGGUCGCCAAUUUUUACUUUCUUAUCUGUGCAAUAUUGUCUUUCACACCACUGUCUCCUUACACUGCUGUUAGUAAUGUUGUUCCUCUUGUUGUUGUUAUUGGGGCUACAAUGGGGGAAGAG
RNAcentral lists this unclassified non-coding RNA (608 nucleotides) under Hevea brasiliensis (rubber tree). Lineage: Eukaryota; Viridiplantae; Streptophyta; Magnoliopsida; Malpighiales; Euphorbiaceae. The record is from RNAcentral.